UGAGGAAUAUUGGUCAAUGGGCGAGAGCCUGAACCAGCCAAGUCGCGUGAGGGAAGACGGUCCUAUGGAUUGUAAACCUCUUUGCCGGGGAGCAAAGAGCGGCACGUGUGCCGCGCCGAGAGUACCCGGAGAAAAAGCAUCGGCUAACUCCGUGCC
RNAcentral lists this ribosomal RNA (156 nucleotides) under uncultured bacterium. RNAcentral's name for it is "partial 16S ribosomal RNA". It matches the Rfam family "Bacterial small subunit ribosomal RNA", at positions 355 to 509 of the family's 1533-position model. The record is from RNAcentral.